GUGUAUCUUCCCAAGUGGCGUGGAUGUGAGGAGACACGACAUUUCACCUGAUGUUCCAUGGGCGACCUACUGGUGAUGUGGACCUGACCCUCCGCCAUGUAGCAGACAACCCCCCUCAGGUCCUGCGGUGUAUCUUCCCAAGUGGCGUGGAUGUGAGGAGACACGACAUUUCACCUGAUGUUCCAUGGGCGACCUACUGGUGAUGUGGACCUGACCCUCCGCCAUGUAGCAGACAACCCCCCUCAGGUCCUGCGGUGUAUCUUCCCAAGUGGCGUGGAUGUGAGGAGACACGACAUUUCACCUGAUGUUCCAUGGGCGACCUACUGGUGAUGUGGACCUGACCCUCCGCCAUGUAGCAGACAACCCCCCCCC
Long non-coding RNA from Pseudophryne corroboree (corroboree frog), 372 nucleotides. RefSeq lists it as uncharacterized. The transcript is spliced from 3 exons. The record is from RefSeq and is a predicted model, not a curated record. NCBI's taxonomy places the organism in Eukaryota, Metazoa, Chordata, Amphibia, Anura, Myobatrachidae.